This 253-nucleotide ribosomal RNA is filed under the name uncultured bacterium. Its description in RNAcentral is "partial 16S ribosomal RNA". It matches the Rfam family "Bacterial small subunit ribosomal RNA", at positions 524 to 776 of the family's 1533-position model. The record is from RNAcentral.
UACAGAGGGUGCGAGCGUUGUUCGGAAUUAUUGGGCGUAAAGGGCGCGUAGGCGGUGCGGUAAGUCACCUGUGAAACCUCUGGGCUUAACUCAGAGCCUGCAGGCGAAACUACCGUGCUGGAGUGUGGGAGAGGUGCGUGGAAUUCCACGUGUAGCAGUGAAAUGCGUAGAGAUGUGGAGGAACACCGAUGGCGAAGGCAGCCCCCUGGGCCAAUACUGACGCUCAUGCACGAAAGCGUGGGGAGCAAACAGG